Molecule: ribosomal RNA, 483 nt
Filed under: uncultured bacterium
Lineage: Bacteria
Description: bacterial SSU rRNA
Rfam family: Bacterial small subunit ribosomal RNA
Source: RNAcentral
UCAUGGCGUCAGGACGAACGCUGGCGGCGUGCUUAACACAUGCAAGUCGAGCGGAAAGGCCUUCGGGGUACGUCGAGCGGCGAACGGUGAGUAACACGUGAGUAAUCUGCCCUUGGCUUUGGGAUAACUACCGGAAACGGUGGCUAAUACCGGAUACGACCACUCCUUGCAUGAGGUGGUGGUGGAAAGUUUUUUCGGCCAGGGAUGUGCUCGCGGCCUAUCAGCUUGUUGGUGGGGUAAUGGCCUACCAAGGCUUCGACGGGUAGCCGGCCUGAGAGGGUGACCGGCCACACUGGGACUGAGACACGGCCCAGACUCCUACGGGAGGCAGCAGUGGGGAAUAUUGGACAAUGGGCGGAAGCCUGAUCCAGCAACGCCGCGUGAGGGAUGACGGCCUUCGGGUUGUAAACCUCUUUCAGUACCGACGAAGCGCCGAUGAUGGUGGUGACGGUAGGUACAGAAGAAGCACCGGCCAACUACGUG